GCGCUGCAUUCGGUAGUGGCAACCAAACUGGUCUGUAAAACCAGCGCCUUAUAAAGGCUUCAGGGUUCGAGUCCCUGGCAGCGCA
Molecule: transfer RNA, 85 nt
Filed under: Anaerolineae bacterium
Lineage: Bacteria; Bacillati; Chloroflexota; Anaerolineae
Description: tRNA-Tyr
Source: RNAcentral